GCCGGGCGUGGUGGCGGGCGCCUGUAAUCCCAGCUACUCGGGAGGCUGAGGCAGGAGAAUCGCUUGAACCCAGGAGGCAGAGGUUGCAGUGAGCCGAGAUUGCCCCACUGCACUCCAGCCUGGGUGACAGAGUGAGACUUCGUCUCAA
RNAcentral lists this non-coding RNA (148 nucleotides) under Gorilla gorilla gorilla (western lowland gorilla). The record is from Rfam by way of RNAcentral. Lineage: Eukaryota; Metazoa; Chordata; Mammalia; Primates; Hominidae.